RNAcentral lists this ribosomal RNA (271 nucleotides) under uncultured archaeon. RNAcentral's name for it is "partial 16S ribosomal RNA". It matches the Rfam family "Archaeal small subunit ribosomal RNA", at positions 477 to 747 of the family's 1478-position model. The record is from RNAcentral.
CAGCGCCACGAGUGGCAAUCGCGAUUAUUGGGCCUAAAGCGUCCGUAGCCGGUUCGGUAAAUCCUUUGUGAAAUCGCCAAGCUUAACUUGGCGGCGUGCAGGGGACACUGCCGAACUCGAGACCGGGAGGAGUUAGAAGUAUUUUUGGGGGAGCGGUAAAAUGCUAUAAUACCAGAAAGACUACCGAUGGCGAAGGCAUCUAACUAGAACGGAUCUGACGGUGAGGGACGAAAGCCAGGGGAGCGAACCGGAUUAGAUACCCGCGUAGUCC